Molecule: long non-coding RNA, 533 nt
Organism: Anarrhichthys ocellatus (wolf-eel)
Lineage: Eukaryota; Metazoa; Chordata; Actinopteri; Perciformes; Anarhichadidae
Exons: 3
Source: RefSeq, a predicted model, not a curated record
AAGUGACGCCGCCACCAACCGGCACUUUAAAAGUCAGCUUCCAACAUUUGAACUCUUCAGACUUUUAACGUCACACAAGGAGACGUUAUUAUUUAUUCACUGUCCAGCAUCACUCCUGUCCUCUUCACAGCUGGCUUCCUGUUUAUCUCAGCUACCAGCUGUUGGAGACUAUUGGUUGGUCCAGAGGAGCAGUGGGAGGCUGCAGAGGGAGGGUCGGCUGUCAAUGAGGACAAAUGACUACAGAUUCAGCAGAUUAGUGAAGUGAGUGGAGGAAAGAGAGGACACAUCAUGAGGACGUGUUGAACCUUUGUUUGCUAAUGGCUUUGACGUUUUUACCCCAACUGUUUGCAAACGAUCCAAAGCUCUCACGUCACGUCAGAGGACGUCAGGUUGUUGAACUUCCUCCUCCUCAGAGUGACGAUGAAGAGAGAACAGAACAUCUGGAACACGGACUGAAGGGAAAUGUGUUUGAUGUGAUAUGUGAUGUCCAAAGGGUCGGAAGAAAAGAUGCAAGCAGAAGAUGCAGCGAUGCA